UCGACUGAGUCCCGGAGCAAK
This 21-nucleotide ribosomal RNA is filed under the name Dictyosphaerium lacustre. RNAcentral's name for it is "partial 28S ribosomal RNA". The record is from RNAcentral. Lineage: Eukaryota; Viridiplantae; Chlorophyta; Trebouxiophyceae; Chlorellales; Chlorellaceae.